UAAACUAGGAUUAGAUACCCUAUUAUUUUAAAUGUAAAUUUUAUGUACUAAAUUAGUAUCAGUUAUGUUCUUGAAAAUUAAAAAAUUUGGCGGUGUUUUAGUCUUUUCAGAGGAAUCUGCCCUGUAAUUGAUAGUCCACGAUAAAUUUAACUUUAUUUAUUAGUUUACAUAUCGUCGUAGAUUAAAUAUUUUAAUAGAAUUUUAAUAUUUGUGAUUUUUAAUUAAAAAAUAAAUCAGAUCAAGGUGUAGUUUAUAGUAAAGAAGAGGUGGGUUACAUUAAAUAUAUUUAAGGAUAUUUUUUUUAAAAAAAUUUUGAAUAUGGAUUUGAUAGUAAUUUUAAAUAUUUUUUUAAAAUGAUUAUAGCUCUAAAAUAUGCACACAUCGCCCGUCGCUCUUAA
RNAcentral lists this ribosomal RNA (398 nucleotides) under Bruchidius mulunguensis. Its description in RNAcentral is "partial 12S ribosomal RNA". The record is from RNAcentral. Lineage: Eukaryota; Metazoa; Arthropoda; Insecta; Coleoptera; Chrysomelidae.